RNAcentral lists this non-coding RNA (85 nucleotides) under Amedibacterium intestinale. The record is from RNAcentral. Lineage: Bacteria; Bacillati; Bacillota; Erysipelotrichia; Erysipelotrichales; Erysipelotrichaceae.
ACAGGGGCGCCGAAAGGCUGAGAUGUUUUAUGCAGUCCCUUAUGACCUGAACUAGGUAAUGCUAGCGUAGGGAGUCUGAAAGUAU